UAGAAAGGAAAUCUUUUAAAAACAUAUUUUAGAGUGUUUUAUUGUGGAAAUGUCCUCAAACAUUUUCAUCCCAUUUUCCCAGAGAAGCCUGACAGCCCAGGGAGCAGGGGCGGGGCUGGGGUGGGGAAGAACAAAACGCAGCGGCCACACCCUUGAACUCUUUUGUGUGUUCAGAACAAUGUCUAGUUAAAAUAAAACAAUAUUGCCGCUAAGCACGCCUAAAAUAGUCCUCGGUGAGUGCUCCUGCCCCAUGGCAGGGUCCCUGCGGAGGGCGGUGCGCGGGGGCCGAGGGCCCGGGCCUGAGCUCGGCCCGGCCGGCAGCGGGGCGCACGGAGGCUGGGUGCCCCGCAGCCCGGGCACAGCUGGCACGGCCGGCUGCCCGGGCCCUCACGCCCAUCCCGCCGCCGGCCCUGCACCCGGGCGGAAAGCAAAAGCCCGGGCCAGGCCCGGGGGGCGGGUGAAGCUCAUAAAGCAGAAGUCACGAAGUCUGGAGCUCCGGCCAGAUUUCCUGGGAAGUCUGAGUCCACUACUCCUGACGUGCACCUUCACUUCAGAGGUAACAGCCGGCUGCAGGGAGCCCAGGACGGAGCUGCCCUGUGGAUUACCUCACCCAGCUCAAACACACCGCUCCUCUCCAGGUGGGGUUCUGUACUUCCAGAACUGACCUUCUUCUCUGCUUUUUCUUAAGAUGAAAAGUCAGGGGGCUGGGGAUUUAGCUCAGCGGCAAAGCGCCUGCCUGGCAAGCGCAAGCGUCUGAGUUCGGUUCACGGUACAGGAGCAAAACCAAAACCAAAAAAAAAAAAAAAAAAAAAAAGAUGAAAAGUCAGUAUUUGUAAUCUUUCUGUCGGCCCACACAAGGUCUGUGAGCAGCAGCUCUGCACCUGGCGGGGCAGUGCCCCUCGGCCACUUCUGGUGAGUUGGACGCUGGGGCAGGUUUUUGGGGAAAACUUUCUUUUCUCUUUUCUUUCAUUUCCUUCCCUUUCUUUUCUUUAUUUUAAUGUAAAUACUAAUAAAGAACAUAUGAAAAAGUCCUCUUCUUACUUUUAUGAAACAAUAAAAAUUUUCAUAACAAAAUAGAGAAUAAUACAGUCGUGAAUACAAUCUUAAAAGAAUGGCCAAAAUGUUACUCAGAGUACAAAUCAUAGACAAAAAAAAGACUCUCUUUUACAAUAUUCUGUCUUAUGGUACAGAAUUUUGGGGUUGUUUUGGGUGGGUACCAGGAAUUGAACUCAGGACCCUGUGCUUGCCAGGCAGGCACUGCACUGCUAAGCUCUGUCUCUAAUCUGUGCUCCCUGCCUCCCUCCCCCGUUUUUUUGUCUUUUUGAGACAGGGUUUCAGUAUGAACAGGCUGGCCUUGAAGUCACUUCGUAGCCCAGGUGGGCCUUGAACUCACAGCGAUCCUCCUGCCUCGGCCUCCAAGUGCUAGAAUUACAGGUGCACCACCACACCCAGCAGAAUUUUUUGUUUUUAAAUAAUAGGUACAGUAUUUAAAUUUAUAUCUCCUUUUCAGAUUACCUUAGUUUAAUGACUAACCAACUGAUAUUCAAAGGGAGAGAUUCAAUUAGAAUCCUUUUUUUUGUUGUUAUCAGUACCAGGAAUCAAACUCAGGGCCUCAUGCUUGCUCAGAGGGUGCUGUGCUGCUCAGCUAUUGCCCUGGCCCGC
Molecule: long non-coding RNA, 1662 nt
Filed under: Chinchilla lanigera (long-tailed chinchilla)
Lineage: Eukaryota; Metazoa; Chordata; Mammalia; Rodentia; Chinchillidae
Description: lncRNA (ENSCLAG00000028764.1)
Source: RNAcentral